RNAcentral lists this ribosomal RNA (220 nucleotides) under uncultured bacterium. RNAcentral describes it as "partial 16S ribosomal RNA". It matches the Rfam family "Bacterial small subunit ribosomal RNA", at positions 111 to 334 of the family's 1533-position model. The record is from RNAcentral.
UAAUGUAUGGGGAUCUGCCCGAUAGAGGGGGAUAACUACUGGAAACGGUGGCUAAUACCGCAUAAUGUCUACGGACCAAAGCAGGGGCUCUUCGGACCUUGCAUUAUCGGAUGAACCCAUAUGGGAUUAGCUAGUAGGUGGGGUAAAGGCUCACCUAGGCGACGAUCUCUAGCUGGUCUGAGAGGAUGAUCAGCCACACUGGGACUGAGACACGGCCCAG